Myotis davidii is the source of this 1258-nucleotide long non-coding RNA. RefSeq lists it as uncharacterized. NCBI's taxonomy places the organism in Eukaryota, Metazoa, Chordata, Mammalia, Chiroptera, Vespertilionidae. The transcript has 2 exons. The record is from RefSeq and is a predicted model, not a curated record.
UUCUAAAAAUCAAAUGUCCUCAGGUGAGGAUUAACGAUAAAAGAAAAAGAGGUGUGUUGGUUGAAAAUACUAAAUAAGAGCAGUCCAGGUGGUUGUUGGGUGUGGCAGGACUCGUGAAGGUGUUGGGCAGACGCUGCCCUACAGAAGGCCUCAUGGAAUCUUGGACACGGACCAAAUGGGAACACGUUGCGGACAAAGAAUCUUCAUAAGCCCCACGCUGAUGAGCAUCAAUAGCUGACAUAUGAACCGGAAUCCACAUUUGAGAAGCUGACUUCCAUCAGAGACAUGAGCCAGGCAGCCAGGAAGCUUCUCCUUUCCCGUCCCCUUCUGGCCACACACUUGUCAACUAGACAAGGUGGAGGCCCUCCUGCUACACAGCCUGUCCCAGAGACCACAGUGGAGACAUGGGGCAAAUCGUACUUGGAUGACCUCUUCGGUGACGUCAUCACUUUGGUUGGUUGUUUGAUACAUGGACAAAGAGCAACGAGUAAUGGGUUUCCAACAGGCAAGGUCUUUGGAGGAGGAGAGCUGCUUUCAGAAGGCCCCAGCGUUGAGGAGGCCCCUGCCUGGUGUUUCUAGCUGAGAACAGGCCUGCUCCCUUCAAAAGUUCUGUGCCAACAGAGAGGCUCCCGUCCAGGCCCAGGACGGGGGGAUGGAGAGGUUGAGACUGGGUGCCGAGGCCGGGAAGGCAUUGGUCCCCCUCCCCAAAGGGAGAAGGCGGGCCUGUCCGAAGACCUCUCCCGCCUGCAGCAUUGCACAGAUGGCCUUGCCUUGGCUUCUGGCCUUCCGCACCGCGAUGGAUGUUUACAGGAACCCAGCCAGAGUAUGCCUCCCUGCUCUUUCUCCCCAACUGCACCUGCUCCCUACACUUAACUUUCUUCAAGAGGACACGUCACACCGCGGACACACAAACAGAAACGACAGGCAACUCCGGCUGCUGCCCGUGGAGCCCUCAGCCCGACUGGGUUUGGCCCAGGCUGAUCUUAGAGGCAGCGACUGUUUCAGGGAAUGACUCCGAAGGAGAAGAGGCGGGGAAGGCGUCCGGGCUGAGGGCACGGCUUCAACUUAUUCAUUUCAAGUUGCUUCUUCAUCAAGUUGCCAAGAUCGAUCCACCGUGCCUGGGGAGGCCGUGUUGCUCCUCUGGCCAGAAUUAUUUUUAGAAAAUGCGAGUGGUUUGAAUACUGGACUUUGAUAAACCUGUAAAAGCAAUACUAAGGAGGCUGACUUCUUUCAAUUAAAAAAAUGUAUGCAACUUCAA